GGUACCAUGGCCGAGUGGUCUAAGGCGCAAGAUUCAAGCUCACAAAAGCUUACACUUCAGUGUUCCCUUGUUCAUCUUCGGUUCGAAUCCGGAUGGUACCA
Non-coding RNA from Violaceomyces palustris, 101 nucleotides. Lineage: Eukaryota; Fungi; Basidiomycota; Ustilaginomycetes; Violaceomycetales; Violaceomycetaceae. The record is from the annotation of a GenBank genome assembly.